GAUGAACGCUAGCGGCAGGCCUAAUACAUGCAAGUCGAGGGGUAGCAGGAUUAAGCUUGCUUAAUUGCUGACGACCGGCGCACGGGUGCGUAACGCGUAUGCAACCUACCUUAUACUGGGGUAUAGCCCGGAGAAAUUCGGAUUAAUCCCCCAUAGUACUAAUGAAUCGCAUGGUUUAUUAGUUAAAGCAUUGCGGUAUAAGAUGGGCAUGCGUCCUAUUAGCUAGAUGGUGAGGUAACGGCUCACCAUGACUACGAUAGGUAGGGGGCCUGGGAGGGUGGUCCCCCACACUGGUACGGAGAAACGGACCAGACUCCUACGGGAGGCAGCAGUGAGGAAUAUUGGUCAAUGGGCGCAAGCCUGAACCAGCCAUGCCGCGUGCAGGAAGAAUGCCCUAUGGGUUGUAAACUGCUUUUAUUUGGGAAUAAACCUCUUUACGUGUAGAGAGCUGAAGGUACCAAAUGAAUAAGCACCGGCUAACUCCGUGCCAGCAGCCGCCGUAA
This 503-nucleotide ribosomal RNA is filed under the name uncultured bacterium. RNAcentral's name for it is "partial 16S ribosomal RNA". It matches the Rfam family "Bacterial small subunit ribosomal RNA", at positions 28 to 523 of the family's 1533-position model. The record is from RNAcentral.